Molecule: RNA transcript, 1808 nt
Organism: Cucumis melo (muskmelon)
Lineage: Eukaryota; Viridiplantae; Streptophyta; Magnoliopsida; Cucurbitales; Cucurbitaceae
Gene name: cyclic nucleotide-gated ion channel 1-like
Exons: 6
Source: RefSeq, a predicted model, not a curated record
UUUCAUUUCAAAUUUCAAAAAACAACUUCCCUUCGCAGCUUCUCUCUCAUUUCUAAAUUUCUUCAUCUUUCUUCUCAACGGCAACUAUCUCCCUCCUCUUCCCCCUCUCUCCGCCUCCCCUUCUCUCUCGAUCUCUUGUCUCCUUCGUCUUCCUCAGAAUCUUCACUCUUCCUUUCUCUCAAUUUCUAUUCUCUAAAAUGAAGCAUCCACCCAAGAAACCCUAUCUUGCUAAAUACCCAUCUCGCCGAUCCACUGCCAUUUUCUAUUCCAUGCGCUAACGGCGCCGGAAUCAAGGGCGGAAGACCCCUCGGAAGCCUAUGUCGUCUUCCAAAGAAAAUGCUUCACCGUCAGAUCCCAAAUUCCCAACUCCAUGGUUCCCGAUUCCAAACCCUCGCCGACUAAGUUGAAGAGCCUGCUCCAUCUUCUAACCCACUUAAGCGGAAGCUCAGUAUGGAGACCGUUCCUGAGAAUUCCAUCCCUGGGUUGUCUGAUUCUGUUGUUAAGAUUAGAGAAGAUGUAAAAUCUGGUGUAGAAAAUUUAACAGAGGAGUGUGUAUCCACAAUGGCAGCCGUUACUCGGCUUCUAAUGAAGUCGAUUAUGGUGGCUCACUUUGGAAACUUGUUACAUAGCUACUGCCAAAAGCUUUAAAUUGCCUUCCGGAUGCACCUCAAAAUCAGCUUCAUUCUUUGUGUUUUCUAAUUUCUAGCUCACUCAAUUCAGCCAUGGAUGUACGGAGAUAUUCCAAAUUUUAUAAUGCAAAACCUGAUGAAGCCGAUGAUGGUGUUUGCACAAGAGCUUGGAGAUUCUUUUUAUCUUACUUCACAAUUGACGUUCUUUCAGUUCUUCCACUCCCCCAGCCAUGCAGGGUUUACAGAAAGAUUUGAACUUUUCAUUUGUGGUCGUGAGCUGGCCAAUGCAUUUUUCGAAUUGAUCGAUCGUAUUUAUCAGGUAAGAGGUGAUUAUAUCAAUCAUUAAUGUUAGAAGGGUGCACAGAUGAUGAAACUUUUUAGCCAAUUUCAUGGCAUUUGAAAGAGAGAAAGUACAUUAGUAUUGAACUCAAGUUAAACUGGAUAGUCUAUCACCUUUUGGAAGAUAACUUUCCUGUACUUUGUUCCAUCUUGUAUAGACCCUUUCAGUCGAAAGGUUACCAAAGGAAUCGUUUUUGUUAUGUGUUAUGUGCUUAACUCCAUAACAAUGUGCGUCCAAGCUCUACAUGAGCAUUCUAUUCUUCUUGCUUGGUAUACUUGUGCAUUAUUGGUUUAUGUGCCAUGUCAAGAAAUAAUAGUUUCUAUUGGAACGUUUUAGUGUUCCGGUUCCAUGAUAAUUGGAAUGGUUGUAAUGAUCUUUUUCUUUUAAAACAAACAAAAUUGGCACAGAGGAUGAUUAGAAGACCAGAUCAGGCAACACAAUGAGAAGCAUGGCUCAGCUGUUUCUUAUGUAUCUCGUUUCUUAUGUAAUGACUCUUUGGACUUCAAUUGCCAAAAAGAUGAGGAUGAUUCUUAUGAAGUGACACUUGAUGAUGAUUUUCUUACUGCUUUGGAAUAUGGAAUGCCACCAGCUUCUGGACUGGUGUUUUAAAGACAACAUCUGGUUUCACAAACUUCUGAUCCUGUUACACCACAAUCUAUGUAGCUGUAGAUCCUCUUAACUCCUGCUCAUCAUCGUCUGGAUAUAUGGUUUACAGUGGUUUGUAUUGAAUUGGUUCUUUAUAUCUUACUUCCUUCUACCAUAUAUACAUAUUAUAUUUUUGUUUAAUGAUUUAUACCAUUUCAAAUACACAUUCAGAAACUAAAACAUAUACCUCUGUA